AAGCACGGGCGGCUGCUAUACAUGCAGUCGAGCGAAUGGAUUAAGAGCUUGCUCUUAUGAAGUUAGCGGCGGACGGGUGAGUAACACGUGGGUAACCUGCCCAUAAGACUGGGAUAACUCCGGGAAACCGGGGCUAAUACCGGAUAACAUUUUGAACCGCAUGGUUCGAAAUUGAAAGGCGGCUUCGGCUGUCACUUAUGGAUGGACCCGCGUCGCAUUAGCUAGUUGGUGAGGUAACGGCUCACCAAGGCAACGAUGCGUAGCCGACCUGAGAGGGUGAUCGGCCACACUGGGACUGAGACACGGCCCAGACUCCUACGGGAGGCAGCAGUAGGGAAUCUUCCGCAAUGGACGAAAGUCUGACGGAGCAACGCCGCGUGAGUGAUGAAGGCUUUCGGGUCGUAAAACUCUGUUGUUAGGGAAGAACAAGUGCUAGUUGAAUAAGCUGGCACCUUGACGGUACCUAACCAGAAAGCCACGGCUAACUACGUGCCAGCAGCCGCGGUAAUACGUAGGUGGCAAGCGUUAUCCGGAAUUAUUGGGCGUAAAGCGCGCGCAGGUGGUUUCUUAAGUCUGAUGUGAAAGCCCACGGCUCAACCGUGGAGGGUCAUUGGAAACUGGGAGACUUGAGUGCAGAAGAGGAAAGUGGAAUUCCAUGUGUAGCGGUGAAAUGCGUAGAGAUAUGGAGGAACACCAGUGGCGAAAGCGACUUUCUGGUCUGUAACUGACACUGAGGCGCGAAAGCGUGGGGAGCAAACAGGAUUAGAUACCGCUGGUAGUCCACGCCGUAACGAUGAGUGCUAAGUGUUAGAGGGUUUCCGCCCCUUUAGUGCUGAAGUUAACGCAUUAGCACUCCGCCUGGGGAGUACGGCCGCAAGGCUGAAACUCAAAGAUGACGGGGGCCCGCACAGCGUGAGCAUGUGCUUAAUCGAGCACGCGAGACUUACAGUCUGACAUCUCUGACACCUAGAGAUAGGCUGCUCAUCGGAGCCGAAUGCACGUGUGCAUGGCUGUCGUCAGCUCAGUCUGAAGUUAGGCUAGUCCGCACGAGCCACAUGACUAGUUGCAUC
Molecule: ribosomal RNA, 1070 nt
Filed under: Bacillus cereus
Lineage: Bacteria; Bacillati; Bacillota; Bacilli; Caryophanales; Bacillaceae
Description: bacterial SSU rRNA
Rfam family: Bacterial small subunit ribosomal RNA
Source: RNAcentral